AGGACCUGUAUCAACAAGUAACAGAAAUAAAACCAGAAAGAACAAAAUGUUGGCUCGUGGAAGUGGUCGGAUCUGGGGAAGACUCUGAAUCUCAAGAGUAAUUUGCCCAAAUUGAGCAGGGAAAGUCUCAGACACACAGAGGACUUGGUACAAUGCCUCACAUAUAAACCCGGGUCAUGGUAAAUGUUCUCAGAACGGCAAAUACAGACUUCAGGGAAGAGAAAGGUCUAAAGAGCCUAGACAAAGGAAGUUCUUUCUGGCCUUGGGAGGGAGACCCCAGAGGUGAAGUGACAUCAAGACACAUCAUGAGACCUAUCAAGAGCAGUCAUUGGCACCCACCGAAAGUGGUCUUGCAAAGAAGAAUCCAUGAGAACAAACAUCACAUGGCUGCGGAGAGGUGCCAGAGUCCCACACUACGACAGUGGGAAAGAGGCCUGUUCUUUUUAAAAACUGGAACCCCAACAAGAAUAACUGUCUUGGCAGAACCCCAACAAGAAUAACUGUCUUGGAAGUCAGGAAACACACUACUUAUAUUGUUGCAUAAUAAA
This is a non-coding RNA of Arvicanthis niloticus (Nile rat), 548 nucleotides long. The record is from RefSeq and is a predicted model, not a curated record. Lineage: Eukaryota; Metazoa; Chordata; Mammalia; Rodentia; Muridae.